RNAcentral lists this unclassified non-coding RNA (300 nucleotides) under Hevea brasiliensis (rubber tree). Lineage: Eukaryota; Viridiplantae; Streptophyta; Magnoliopsida; Malpighiales; Euphorbiaceae. The record is from RNAcentral.
UACAUGCAUUUUUUUUUGUAGAAUCUGCAUUAGCACAUACCCAUGUCAUGAUACCGCGUUCUACACGAAAUGACCUAUCUAACAUGAUUUGUUGUUGAGAAAUUGUUUGGUGCCUUGAAGAUUAGUAAACAAUUGAGAUGUAAGAAAACUGAAUUCAGAUGCAAUAAUCUAUUCUUACAAGUUACAAUAUCCAUAUCCAGAUUUUUGGCCAGAUUCUGUUCCAUAUGAAUUGAAGUAAUUCUGUCUUCUUUGAAAGUGGUUAAUAAAAGAGGCAUCCUCUUGAUUUUAUCAACGUUAGAG